CGAGAAAGGGGGAGCAAUCCCUGAGUAAAGUGGCGCACGGGUGAGUAACACGUGACUAACCUACCCUGGAGUGGGGGAUAACUGAGGGAAACCUUAGCUAAUACCGCAUAAUACCUAUGGGUCAAAGGAGCAAUUCGCUUUGGGAGGGGGUCGCGGCCGAUUAGUUAGUUGGCGGGGUAAUGGCCCACCAAGACGAUGAUCGGUAUCCGGCCUGAGAGGGCGCACGGACACACUGGAACUGAAACACGGUCCAGACUCCUACGGGAGGCAGCAGUGGGGAAUUUUGCGCAAUGGGGGAAACCCUGACGCAGCAACGCCGCGUGGAGGAUGAAGUCCUUCGGGACGUAAACUCCUUUCGAUCGGGACGAUUAUGACGGUACCGGAAGAAGAAGCCCCGGCUAACUUCGUGCCAGCAGCCGCGGUAAUACGAGGGGGGCGAGCGUUGUUCGGAAUUAUUGGGCGUAAAGGGUGCGUAGGCGGUUUGGUAAGUCUGAUGUGAAAUCUAUGGGCUCAACUCAUAGUCUGCAUCGGAAACUGCCGGGCUUGAGUGUGGGAGAGGUGAGUGGAAUUUCCGGUGUAGCGGUGAAAUGCGUAGAUAUCGGAAGGAACACCUGUGGCGAAAGCGGCUCACUGGACCACAACUGACGCUGAUGCACGAAAGCUAGGGGAGCAAACAGGAUUAGAUACCCUGGUAGUCCUAGCCCUAAACGAUGACU
Molecule: ribosomal RNA, 716 nt
Filed under: uncultured bacterium
Lineage: Bacteria
Description: bacterial SSU rRNA
Rfam family: Bacterial small subunit ribosomal RNA
Source: RNAcentral